RNAcentral lists this ribosomal RNA (803 nucleotides) under uncultured bacterium. RNAcentral's name for it is "bacterial SSU rRNA". It matches the Rfam family "Bacterial small subunit ribosomal RNA", at positions 8 to 810 of the family's 1533-position model. The record is from RNAcentral.
AGAGGUUCAUUCUGGCUCAGGAUGAACGCUGGCGGCGUGCUUAACACAUGCAAGUCGAGCGAAGCGAUCAAGAUGAAGUUUUCGGAUGGAUUCUCGAUUGACUGAGCGGCGGACGGGUGAGUAACGCGUGGGUAACCUGCCUCAUACAGGGGGAUAACAGUUAGAAAUGACUGCUAAUACCGCAUAAGCGCACAGUGCCGCAUGGUACGGUGUGAAAAACUCCGGUGGUAUGAGAUGGACCCGCGUCUGAUUAGCUGGUUGGUGGGGUAACGGCCUACCAAGGCGACGAUCAGUAGCCGACCUGAGAGGGUGACCGGCCACAUUGGGACUGAGACACGGCCCAAACUCCUACGGGAGGCAGCAGUGGGGAAUAUUGCACAAUGGGGGAAACCCUGAUGCAGCAACGCCGCGUGAGUGAAGAAGUAUUUCGGUAUGUAAAGCUCUAUCAGCAGGGAAGAAAAUGACGGUACCUGACUAAGAAGCCCCGACUAACUACGUGCCAGCAGCCGCGGUAAUACGUAGGGGGCAAGCGUUAUCCGGAUUUACUGGGUGUAAAGGGAGCGUAGACGGCGAGACAAGUCUGAAGUGAAAGCCCGGGGCUCAACCCCGCGGACUGCUUUGGAAACUGCCUUGCUGGAGUGUCGGAGAGGUAAGUGGAAUUCCUAGUGUAGCGGUGAAAUGCGUAGAUAUUAGGAGGAACACCAGUGGCGAAGGCGGCUUACUGGACGAUAACUGACGUUGAGGCUCGAAAGCGUGGGGAGCAAACAGGAUUAGAUACCCUGGUAGUCCACGCCGUAAACGAU